CCUACGGGGGGCAGCAGUGAGGAAUAUUGGUCAAUGGGCUCGCGCCUGAACCAGCCAAGUAGCGUGAAGGAAGACUGCCCUAUGGGUUGUAAACCUCUUUUAUCAAGGAGUAACGUGAGCCACGUGUGCCUUUUUGGAGGUACUCUAUGAAUAAGGAUCGGCCAAAUCCGUGCCAGCAGCCGCGGUAAUUCGGAGGAUGCGGGCGUUUUCCGGAUUUAUUUGGGUUAAAGGGAUCGUAGAUGGGAUGUUAAGUUAGUUGGGAAAGUUGGCGGCUUAACCGUAAAAUUGCAAUUGAUACUGGCGGUCUUGAGUACAGUAGAGGUAUGCGGAAUGCGUGGUGUAGCGGUGAAAUGCUUAGAUAUCACGAAGAACUCCGAUUGCGAAGGCAGCUUACCAGACUGCCACUGACAUUGAAGCUCGAAAGUGUGGGUAUCGAACAGGAUUAGAUACCCGUGUAGUC
This 460-nucleotide ribosomal RNA is filed under the name uncultured bacterium. Its description in RNAcentral is "partial 16S ribosomal RNA". It matches the Rfam family "Bacterial small subunit ribosomal RNA", at positions 338 to 795 of the family's 1533-position model. The record is from RNAcentral.